AUGGCGGAGGCAGCAAGGGGAGGGCCGACGCCUCCUCAUGGUGGCAUCCCGGAUGAGAUCCUCAUCUGGGACAUCCUCGUCCGCCUGCCCCCCAAAUCGCUCCUCCGCUGCCGUGCCGUCUGCCGCGCCUGGCGCACAGCCACCUCCGCCCGCGACUUCCUCAUCGCCAACCACGCCCGCCAGCCCACCCGCCCCCUCCUCUACGUCUGCAACCUUCCCCACUACGGCCACUACAAGGUCGGUGGCGACAUAGACAUCAUCCCCUUCGACCACCGGGCCGCCGCCGACAAGCUCCAGCCCGUCGCGCUACUUGGCCGAGCCUCCGAAUUCAAAGAUCUGGUGGCCUCCUUUGACGGCCUCGUUGUCUUCGACUGGUGGCGCCGCAAGUCCUUGGGUAUCUGCAACUCAGCGACCCGUCAGUAUGCCCGCCUCAUGGUGCCUAUGGACUUCACGUUCUUGGGGAUGUACCGUCACCCCCCAACCGGCGAAUACAGGGUACUGAUGUACCCGUGUCUGGCAGCUGGGAGGGAAGCUGGCUGCUAUGUUUUAUCGUUGGGCUCCAUCCAACCGCCGAGAAGCAUUGUCAGGCCGGGGGAAGUGCAUAAAGAAGUGAUAUUCGGCACCAAGUCUGUGCUAUUCCGUGGCGGGCUGCACUGGUACAGGGUGCAGCAGCACGAGGGCGAAAGCAACAUGAUAAUCGUAUUUGACACCACAGCCGAGACGUUCCGACAGAUGCGCGUCCCGGUUGUUCGUGGUACCACCUGUGAUGGGCUAUUUGAGAUGGAUGGCAUGCUCGGCAUGUCUAGCUUUAACGACAAAGCGACAAGCAUUGAUAUCUGGGUGUUGCAGGACUAUGCAAGCGAGGUCUGGACCUUCAAGUGCCACAUUGAACUGCCGCUUGCAGAGAUUAUGGCGUCGUGUGGAAAACGCGAUGACGAUGACUCUUGGGAAACGGUGGUCGUGCCUGGGGAUGGUGAGUUGCUUGUCCUGGUCAAAUUUCCCAACUGGCUAGUUCAGAUUGACAUGGAUGGCAAGUUGGUCGCCACUUUCAAUCACACAGGUGUCCAACCUACUCAACUGCAGCUCAAGCAAAGUCUUGUUCCGCAUGACUUCUUUCCAUCGCUACAUGGUUAUGUUGUGAACGGUUGGCCUUUCACCUGA
RNAcentral lists this ribosomal RNA (1161 nucleotides) under Triticum aestivum (bread wheat). Its description in RNAcentral is "partial small subunit ribosomal RNA". The record is from RNAcentral. Lineage: Eukaryota; Viridiplantae; Streptophyta; Magnoliopsida; Poales; Poaceae.